CGCACAUUGCGCCCUUUGGCAUUCCGAAGGGCAUGCCUGUUCGAGCGUCAUUAUCAACCCUCAAGCCUAGCUUGGUGUUGGGCGGCAGUGGCUAUUCACCCGCCCCAAAGGCAACGACGGCGGCUACACGACCCCUGGUACAACGAGCUUUUAACUAGGCACGUACUGCGGUGGGCGUGGGGACCCGGUCUUACCACAUAUUUUCUCAGGUUGACCUCGGAUCAGGUAGGGAUACCCGCUGAACUUAA
This 248-nucleotide unclassified non-coding RNA is filed under the name Exophiala sp. RNAcentral's name for it is "partial contains 5.8S ribosomal RNA, internal transcribed spacer 2, and large subunit ribosomal RNA". Lineage: Eukaryota; Fungi; Ascomycota; Eurotiomycetes; Chaetothyriales; Herpotrichiellaceae. The record is from RNAcentral.